GCAGCAGCCGCGGGAAAACGGAGGGUGCAAGCGUUACUCGGAAUCACUGGGCGUAAAGGACGCGUAGGCGGAUUAUCAAGUCUCUUGUGAAAUCCUAUGGCUUAACCAUAGAACUGCUUGGGAAACUGAUAAUCUAGAGUGAGGGAGAGGCAGAUGGAAUUGGUGGUGUAGGGGUAAAAUCCGUAGAGAUCACCAGGAAUACCCAUUGCGAAGGCGAUCUGCUGGAGCUCAACUGACGCUAAUGCGUGAAAGCGUAGGGAGCAAACAGGAUUAGAUACCCCGGUAGUCCCUGUCUCUUAUAA
This 302-nucleotide ribosomal RNA is filed under the name uncultured bacterium. Its description in RNAcentral is "partial 16S ribosomal RNA". It matches the Rfam family "Bacterial small subunit ribosomal RNA", at positions 508 to 809 of the family's 1533-position model. The record is from RNAcentral.